AACGAACGCUGGCGGCAUGCCUAACACAUGCAAGUCGAACGAGAACAUUCGGGGUCUAGUGGCCCACGGUUGCGUAACGCGUGGGAAGCUGCCUUGGGGUAUGGAAUAACUCAGAGAAAGUUGAGCUAAUACCAUAUGAAGUCUUCGGACCAAAGAUUUAUCGCCCUGAGAUGAGACCGCGUAGGAUUAUCUAGGUGGUGGGGUAAAGGCCUACCAAGGCGACGAUGCUUAGCUGGGCUGAGAGGAUGAUCAGCCACGCCGGGACGGAGACACGGGCCAGGAUUCUACGGGAAGCAGCGGUGGGGUAUAUUAGAAAAGCGGCGGAAGCGAUAAACAGCUACGCAUCGUGAGUGAUGGAGGUCUUAGGGGUAUAAAGCUCUUUUUACCGGGACGAUAAUGAACGUAACCGAAGAAUAAGGCCCGGCCAACCUCCUG
RNAcentral lists this ribosomal RNA (435 nucleotides) under uncultured bacterium. Its description in RNAcentral is "partial 16S ribosomal RNA". It matches the Rfam family "Bacterial small subunit ribosomal RNA", at positions 29 to 507 of the family's 1533-position model. The record is from RNAcentral.